CGCCCGAUUCACUGUUCGGACUCGCCGAUUCCGUACAGUGAAUCGGCGAAUCACUGUACCGAAUCGUCCGGUUCCCUCUAGAACCGGACGAUUUCCGAUUUUUCAACCGAUCCGGUCCCUUUUUGCGAAUUCCGAGUCGAACCGGGCGAAUCCGAUUCGACUCGACGUUUUUUAAAACGCUGGCUGAAACCAUUGGAAAUGUUUCCAAAGACUUGAAGCCGUUUCUCCAAUUAUAUUCGAACCAAGUACACAAAAGCCUCAAACAAAUCUACAACCUUGAGAAGCUUCAAUUCCGAGAAUUGAGAAAAACAGUGAUGACAGAGUAACCAUUUCAGGGCUUUCUGGUCAAAUAUUAGACAAUAUUCUCCCCCACUGGUUGAAGAGAGAAAAGUUCCUAGAAAAAGAGGUCUUGCAACUUUGAAAAUCCUAUCCGAGUUGAUCCACCCUAUAGAUCCGUAUCAAAGCACUAGAUUGCCGAUCCCAUUCGGUCUGAAUAACUGAUCUGAAAUGAAGUAUCACGCCUCUAAAAAUGUCAACUUCAAAGAAUACAACCACAAAAAAUAUAGCCUAAAAGAGGCGCUCUAGCGUAUCACCAACUACAACUUCCUCGCUUUUGCUUCAGAGAAUGUCAGGCCUUCACAAAAUUACAGUGGCACUGAGCAGAGUCUCUAGGGAAAAACAUAUCAAGCUCUCUCCAUCUGUCUCAAUAAAAUACAGCAUCGAACAAGGUAAUCCAUACAAAUUGUUGUAUAUUUGUCAAGACAUAGUCCUAAACGAGCUUCUUCUUCCCCUUGCACAGUCUCUUCACCAGAUCAGUAGCAAC
RNAcentral lists this long non-coding RNA (823 nucleotides) under Amborella trichopoda. RNAcentral's name for it is "long non-coding RNA (ATRI_LNC003254)". The record is from RNAcentral. Lineage: Eukaryota; Viridiplantae; Streptophyta; Magnoliopsida; Amborellales; Amborellaceae.